AUCCUACGGGGGGCAGCAGUGGGGAAUAUUGGGCAAUGGGCGCAAGCCUGACCCAGCAACGCCGCGUGAAGGAAGAAGGCUUUCGGGUUGUAAACUUCUUUUAUGAGGGACGAAACAAAUGACGGUACCUCAUGAAUAAGCCACGGCUAACUACGUGCCAGCAGCCGCGGUAAUACGUAGGUGGCAAGCGUUAUCCGGAUUUACUGGGUGUAAAGGGCGUGUAGGCGGGACUGCAAGUGAGAUGUGAAAAUUAUGGGCUCAACCCAUAACCCGCAUUUGAAACCGCAGUACUUGAGUGAUGGAGG
RNAcentral lists this ribosomal RNA (305 nucleotides) under uncultured bacterium. RNAcentral's name for it is "bacterial SSU rRNA". It matches the Rfam family "Bacterial small subunit ribosomal RNA", at positions 335 to 655 of the family's 1533-position model. The record is from RNAcentral.